GCUUGGCCCUAAAUCCAGAUGUCCACGCACAUGCACAUCCGCCCGAGAACUACGAGCAUAAACGCUUAAAACUCUAAGGACUUGGCGGUGCCCUAAACCCACCUAGAGGAGCCUGUUCUGUAAUCGAUAAUCCACGAUCCACCCGACCACUUCUUGCCAAAACAGCCUACAUACCGCCGUCCCCAGCCCACCUCCAUGAGAGAACAACAGUGAGCCCAACAGCCCCACACCAGCCACUAACAAGACAGGUCAAGGUAUAGCCCACGAAGUGGAAGAAAUGGGCUACAUUUUCUAAGAUAGAACAACCCCGACGGAAGGGAGCCUGAAACCUGCCCCCAAAAGGAGGAUUUAGCAGUAAAGUAGGAUAAGAGAGCCUUCUUUAAGCCGGCCCUAGGGC
This 397-nucleotide ribosomal RNA is filed under the name Psittacus erithacus (grey parrot). Its description in RNAcentral is "partial 12S ribosomal RNA". It matches the Rfam family "Bacterial small subunit ribosomal RNA", at positions 794 to 1380 of the family's 1533-position model. Lineage: Eukaryota; Metazoa; Chordata; Aves; Psittaciformes; Psittacidae. The record is from RNAcentral.